This 316-nucleotide long non-coding RNA is filed under the name Sorghum bicolor (sorghum). RNAcentral's name for it is "long non-coding RNA (SBIC_LNC004018)". The record is from RNAcentral. Lineage: Eukaryota; Viridiplantae; Streptophyta; Magnoliopsida; Poales; Poaceae.
CAUGUAUUAAAUUGAAAAGAUUUUGAUAUGACAGGAAAUCUUGAAAAGAUUUUGGUUUUUGGGUGACUAUAAACAACGCCGUAGUAGACGUGAAAACGCAAGCGUAAAGCGGAUUAUGCCUGCGAGCUUGAGUGUUUGUGUUUCACACAAAGCGGAAAAAAAAAAGGAGGAGAAGAAUUUCGCCGCGGAAAUAAAAGGUAGUAAAAGAGGAAAGGGGAAAAAGAAGAAAAGAAGCGCCGUGUGCCAUGGCCCAUGUGUGUGCGCGCGCGCCCCAGUUGUGUGAACUUGACCUGAACUUGCCCGUCGGUUUCCCGGA